This is a long non-coding RNA of Helianthus annuus (common sunflower), 2544 nucleotides long. RefSeq lists it as uncharacterized. NCBI's taxonomy places the organism in Eukaryota, Viridiplantae, Streptophyta, Magnoliopsida, Asterales, Asteraceae. The record is from RefSeq and is a predicted model, not a curated record. The transcript is spliced from 6 exons.
GUGUUGGUCUAGAGGUGUUGAGCCGCUAUUUAACCAGCUAAGAAGUUUAAUAGCUUGACAAAAGUGAGACCACGGACAGAGCCGGUUAGACAAGGAAAGCUGAGGAGUUAUGGAGGAGGAGCCGACCAUGGCCUCCGGCCGGCCUCCUCACCCUGGUUACGCACUUGCCCGGUUAUGAUCGUAGUGGUGUCGCACGAAGACGUGGAUUUCCUCCCACCGGCUGCUCCGUUGUGAAAGGGGGAGUCGCCAGCUACAGACGACGGCGCCAUUGCUGUUCUCCGACGACACACCUCUUUUGGCACGUUCACCACUAUUUUCUACAGAUCGAGAAUCAACGACGACGACGGUUGUUUCCGGCCACUCCCGUUCGUAGUGUAUGCUGAAAACCCUAGCCCACACACGGAAGACAGAGACGGGGAAAUAUCUAGAGAGAGUGAUGGAGGAGGAGCCGAUCAUGGCCUCCGGCCGGCCUCCUCACCCCGGUUACGCACUUGGUCGGUGAUGAUCAUAGUGGUGCCGCACGAAGACGUGGAUUUCCUGCCACCGGCUGCUCCGUUGUGAAAGGGUGGAGCCGCCAGCAACGGACGACAGAGCCAUUGCUGUGCUUCGACGACACACCUCUUCCGGCACGUUCACCACUAUUGCUCUGUUCUUUAAGGUAAUGUUUCGUGGCUGGAACGUAUAAGAAUCAACUACAUGAUGGGUUAAAAGACAGCUGAAAAGUUGACAUGUCAAAUUCAAUACCAGAACAGAAUGCCAAAAUACAGAGCACGACUAGAUCAGUGCCAUAUUUUCAAAGGUGCCAAUUUCAACCAUUUACUUGAAAGUAGGUUGAUUUGGGUUAUGCUUUAACUUCAACGGAUCAAGUGGUUCAUAUUAAAUAACCUAGACCAAGUCAGUCGGGUUGAAAGUCGCCCAAGUGUGGACUGGUACGACAACAUUUUUUUCUCUGAAAUCAGGUCGUAGCCAACUAAUUUUCCUUGAUUCUCUUUGUAACAUGUAGCUCUUAAAUUUGAGAGUAGAAAUAGCAAAGGCUGCACUUAUGGUCCUCCAUAGUCUGUACGAAUGGCAGGUUUACAAGUACGUGUUUUUUUCCUGAUCUCACAUAACGAAGAUUUGGAUGUCACGUAACGAAAACGUAUUCAGGGAAGCACAUACAACAAAACAGUGGAUGAGGUGAAGGAAUGUACUUUCUUUUGGCUAACCCACAGGGCCAAAUUAAAUUACUUAUCUUUUGAAAAUUGGAACAGUUAUGGUGUCGAUGUAAUGCUAGAUUAGCAAGUAGUAUGUUUUCUAACCUUGCCUUCUAGCUCCUGGCUAGAGGCCUUUUGGUUUGAAUAUAAGGGGCUCCAUUUUGGUUUGAAUAUAAUGAGCUCCCUUUAUUUGUUAAAAAAAAAUACUUUGCAUGUCAUUGGCUGAUCAUUUAUUCCAAAUUGCAAAGAGAAUUUUGAAUUAAUUGCCAUGACUCAUGAAGAAGUUGAAGGGCGUUUUGUUGAAGCUAUUGCAAUAUGUUUCAAAAAUUACAAGAGAAAAGGUGAUCAUCGACGCAUCGUUGAUCUAUAAUGAUUAUACACGAAUGAUAAAUUUUUUUAUAUAUUCUAUCUCAUAUCAUGUUACCAUUAUAAUUGUAACUCUUUAGCAAAGAAUAUAAUGCAUGUGAGUUAGUUAUGUUUAUUUAAGGACAUAAUUUGAUUAAUUUAAAUUAAUGCCGUUAACGUUUUAUAAAUUAUUUUUUCUAUUGUUAUUCGGUUUGUUUUUGGUUUUUUUUUUAUUUUUUUUGUAGCUGAUGAUUAGAGAUGACAUCCAAAUGAAGAACUGGAGUCUGGAACAAUAAGCAUGUAUCUUUACAUCCCCGACAUUAUUGUAGCUGCAGCUGUAUACAUGGAUUAUAAAGUCAACUUACGGAUGGUGACUUCCUAUUAAUUUCUUAGUAGCUGAAAAUGGUUAACUGAUCAGCUAUCGACGCUCAGAUCAAAUGUUCCCAAAAUAAGCAAGGUGGAUGGAUAAAGAUCAAUACUGGGGCUACAAUACGGAUACCCCGAUCCAGAUUUGUUGUUCGAUGAAACGAGGACCGUUAUCAACAAGAUAACAAUGAGCACACUUGAAGCACUUGGUUUAGACAUUCAACAAUGGGUCAUCAGUUAUUUUAAUGGUUGUUUAUUUCAAAGUUCAUAUUCUAAGGUGGUUUCUAUUAAAAAUGUGCAUCUCUUUAUCUAUCUUGACUAUAUAUGCACAUGUAAUUAUAAUAAAUCCUAAAUUUGCAUGAUAUUUAGUCACAGGAUCAUUGAUCGACGAUGACUACAAUGAAUUGUGAUGACUUGAACCAAACAAUCAUCUGUUUGAUGCAUGGUUCUUCAGGCAGAUACGAACCAAGAGACAAAACACGCUCGCUACAAGGGCUAAACACGGGCCACAAGACACAUCUAUUGUUAAGAGCGCUAGACACGGCGCGCAGGCGAAAAAACCUAGUUGAGUUUAAAAAUAAAUCAUUAAAUAUUAAAUUUAAACAUAUAUACACAUAAACAAUACACUAUCUCAUUUUCC